GAUGAACGCUGGCGGCGUGCCUAAUACAUGCGAGUCGAGCGAACGGACUAGAAGCUUGCUUCUCUGACGUUAGCGGCGGACGGGUGAGUAACACGUGGAUAACCUACCUAUAAGACUGGGAUAACUUCGGGAAACCGUAGCUAAUACCGGAUAAUAUUUUGAACCGCAUGGUUCAAAAGUGAAAGACGGUCUUGCUGUCACUUAUAGAUGGAUCCGCGCUGCAUUAGCUAGUUGGUAAGGUAACGGCUUACCAAGGCAACGAUGCAUAGCCGACCUGAGAGGGUGAUCGGCCACACUGGAACUGAGACACGGUCCAGACUCCUACGGGAGGCAGCAGUAGGGAAUCUUCCGCAAUGGGCGAAAGCCUGACGGAGCAACGCCGCGUGAGUGAUGAAGGUCUUCGGAUCGUAAAACUCUGUUAUUAGGGAAGAACAUAUGUGUAAGUAACUGUGCACAUCUUGACGGUACCUAAUCAGAAAGCCACGGCUAACUACGUG
Molecule: ribosomal RNA, 497 nt
Filed under: uncultured bacterium
Lineage: Bacteria
Description: partial 16S ribosomal RNA
Rfam family: Bacterial small subunit ribosomal RNA
Source: RNAcentral